Molecule: ribosomal RNA, 207 nt
Filed under: uncultured bacterium
Lineage: Bacteria
Description: partial 16S ribosomal RNA
Rfam family: Bacterial small subunit ribosomal RNA
Source: RNAcentral
AGCGCAGGCGGUGCGGCAAGUCUGAUGUGAAAGCCCGGGGCUCAACCCCGGUAUUGCAUUGGAAACUGUCGUACUAGAGUGUCGGAGGGGUAAGCGGAAUUCCUAGUGUAGCGGUGAAAUGCGUAGAUAUUAGGAGGAACACCAGUGGCGAAGGCGGCUUACUGGACGAUAACUGACGCUGAGGCUCGAAAGCGUGGGGAGCAAACA